GGGGAGUCGGGCUGUAGCGCAGCGGGUUAAGCGCAGGUGGCACAAAGCACAAGGACCGGCAUAAGGAUCCCGGAUCCCGGUUCGAACCCCGGCUCCCCACCUGCAGGGGAGUCGCUUCACAGGCGGUGAAGCAGGUCUGCAGGUGUCUGUCUUUCUCUCCUCCUCUCUGUCUUCGUCUCCUCUCUCCAUUUCUCUCUGUCGUAUCCAACAACGACAACAACAAUAAUAACUACAACAAUAAAACAACAAAAGGGAAUAAAUAAAUGAAAUAAAUAUAAAAAAA
Molecule: long non-coding RNA, 283 nt
Organism: Erinaceus europaeus (western European hedgehog)
Lineage: Eukaryota; Metazoa; Chordata; Mammalia; Eulipotyphla; Erinaceidae
Exons: 2
Source: RefSeq, a predicted model, not a curated record